RNAcentral lists this long non-coding RNA (823 nucleotides) under Oryza sativa Indica Group (long-grained rice). Its description in RNAcentral is "lncRNA OsMH63_07G024030". The record is from RNAcentral. Lineage: Eukaryota; Viridiplantae; Streptophyta; Magnoliopsida; Poales; Poaceae.
AUGCCCGGUCCCUUUGUCCCGGGGGCGACGCGGGCGGCGAACAAGCCGCGUCGUCCCCGCCCUUCUCCUCCCCUCCCCAGCCUCGCCGCCGCCCGAGCCGCCGCCGGCAAAGCCGGGCGGCUGCAAGGAUGGCGGCGGCGGGACUCUCUCUCCCUCGCUCGCGGCCAAGACGGUCGGGACAUCGGCACGGCACGAGCUCAGGGCAUGGCGUUGGCGCCGACCGGCGGCGUCCAGAUCCGGUGCCGUGGUGCCCGGAUCCGGUCCCCCAACGACGGGCGGCGGCGUCCUGGCAGCUCGGCGGCGAGGUUUGGCGGUGGCGGCGGCGACCUGACGGGAGACGCUGCUGGAGCUGCCUCCGGUAGCCGAGCACGGCGGCGCGGCCAGACGACGGAUGCGGCGGUGGAGGUGCUGCGAGAGCCAGUGCGGUGGCUACUGCUGCCGACGACGGCAGUGACGACGGCGGCGGCUGUGGCGUCAUCGACUGCGGCGGCGGGCUGGCGAGGUAGCGGCCGUGGUGGUCGAGGCGUCGUGCGGCCUCGUAGGUGGCGAGGCCUGCCGUGCAGGCGUCGUGGAGGCCGGCGACGUGUGGCUAUUGGAGGCCAACGUCGUGCGGUAGCGGGAGGGCGUCAUGGAGACCGACGACAUGGAGCUCGUGGGCAGCGACAGCAGGUGCUGGUGGCUGCAGGCUGCGACAGCGGACGGCUUGCGGCGAUGGCCGUGGCGACCGUGGACGUGGCUGCCGUGGCGGAGGAGGUGAGGAUGGUGAUGGAGAGGUGGCUGGGCGUUCGGCAGCAGCGGCUACGGUGGCGGUGACCACGGUCAC